CACAAAAGAUUAAAACUUAUACGCCUCUUCCCCCACGAUCUCCACUUCGCAUUAAUUCCCUCAAUUAUGGAACAACAAGCUGAUUUCAUACAAAAAGCUCUCAAUCUCUUCCUUUCCUUAUCCCUCUUUCUGACGUUGGACGAAGAUGGGUGGAUGGUGAAAACUGAAAACGAUGAAAGGUGAGGCUUACUCUUCGGCGAGGGAGUUCACCAAGAUGAUGGUUCAUCAAUGAUGCGCGAUGUUAACUUCUCAAUUGACGGAUAUCGUUAAAUCAUAAACUUACUUUGGCCCACCUAAACGCCUGUAUACUAUGGUUUAGUGAAUAUAGAAUGAUGAGAGUAUGAAGAAAAUUCAAAGUGAAAUAUAGGAAUAAAGAAGAGAAGCGAAACAAAGAAAAAAGACACCAAGCUACAAAACAAGACAGAUGGAAUCUACUGUAAAGUAUAAUUCUUGCAAAACCAUGAACGUUUGUAUUAUUUUUCUAUUCUUCGAUGAUUCUCAUUCUAUCACAAUUGUCUGUACCCGUGCAUAGCACGGGCUCAACACUAGUGUUUAAUAAUUCCGAUUUGAGCA
This is a long non-coding RNA of Camelina sativa (false flax), 573 nucleotides long. RefSeq lists it as uncharacterized. Lineage: Eukaryota; Viridiplantae; Streptophyta; Magnoliopsida; Brassicales; Brassicaceae. The record is from RefSeq and is a predicted model, not a curated record.